AUUGAACGCUGGCGGCAGGCCUAACACAUGCAAGUCGAGCGGAUGAAGGGAGCUUGCUCCUGGAUUCAGCGGCGGACGGGUGAGUAAUGCCUAGGAAUCUGCCUGGUAGUGGGGGAUAACGUCCGGAAACGGGCGCUAAUCUCGCAUACGUCUUGAGGGAGAAAGUGGGGGAUCUUCGGACCUCACGCUAUCAGAUGAGCCUAGGUCGGAUUAGCUAGUUGGUGGGGUAAAGGCCUACCAAGGCGACGAUCCGUAACUGGUCUGAGAGGAUGAACAGUCACACUGGAACUGAGACACGGUCCAGACUCCUACGGGAGGCAGCAGUGGGGAAUAUUGGACGAUGUGCGAAAGCCUGAUCCAGCCAUGCCGCGUGUAUGAAGAAGGUCUGCGGAUUGUAAAGCACUUUAAGUUGGGAGGAAGGGCAGUAAGUUAAUACCUUGCUGUUUUGACGUUACCAACAGAAUAAGCACCGGCUAACUUCGUG
This 484-nucleotide ribosomal RNA is filed under the name uncultured bacterium. RNAcentral describes it as "partial 16S ribosomal RNA". It matches the Rfam family "Bacterial small subunit ribosomal RNA", at positions 30 to 507 of the family's 1533-position model. The record is from RNAcentral.